CCCGGGUCCCGCCAAGGCCGGGGACGGGAAGCGGUCUUUGCAGAGCGGCGCGGGGAGUCGGGGUCCCGCCCCUGCGGGAGGAGCUAGGCUGGGCCGCCGGGCCGGCCAAUAGGACGGCGGGGACGCCGCGCAACGUGGAGCCGGAGCGAUGUAAACAGCCGGGCGGCGGCGAGCCACGUGCGUCCGCGAGCGCUCGCCGGCUGAGGGUCUUCACCAUGGCCUUUGUUCAUCUCCAGUUCCUUUGGGCUUCCAGCACGGACCCCUGGCUACCUGACCCGGACUCGAAGUGGACUCUGCAGUGAGCUGCAGGCCCUUGAUUCGGUGGAUCCUCCAGCUCUCCAGCAUGCAGGUGGCUGUUUUGCAGUCUUCCACACAUGGCUCUGGGGCAGCCACUGUGUGAACCUCACUGGCUCAGAGGUCACUGCACAGAACUUGAUCAAAUCUUGCCUUCUGCCCAGGAGGAACGACUUUCCAGGCUAGCCAUCGUGUGGCUUUGAGUAAAAAAAAUCUUACAGUGGAAGGUACACAGCCCCAGAUUUCACAGUAGAAAUGCAGUGAAACAUUCUUUGGUCAUCAGAUAGGCUGAAUAGGUACCUGUGCAUAUGUAUCUAUGUGGAGAGAGAGAGAAAUUGAGAUUUCGUGCUGGGAAAGGGUAAGAAGCCCUGCCUGAGCAGCGUAUCUCAAAAUAAAAACGGAGGGAAUGUAGCAGUGUGAGAGUGAGUAAACAGUACUGACACGUUGCCGUUGUGAGUGGAUUGCUGUAUGUUUUGGGAUUCGCCUUGGUGUCUGUGGAAAUAAAAAUGCAAAGAUUAAAUUCAAUCAUGUCACUUCCAUUUAUCCUAAGAAAUCAAGGUUUUCAUUUACAAGAAUCAUAUUUAAAAAGGUUUACAGGUGUUUUAUUUAUAAUAGCAAAAACCUAAAGACAGUUUAUGAGGAAAUAUUGAAUAUGGUUCAUCUGGAAGCUAGGAUAUACCAAGGAGCUUUGUUUCUUUGUUGUUAUCCUUCUUGUUCUUGUUUUGCUUUUUUUUUUUUUUUUUUGUCUUUUUCCUUUUUAUCGGUACUGGGGAUGGAACUCACGACUGCCCACUUACAAGGCAGGCGCUUAUGCCGCUGAGCUAAAUCCCCAGCCCCUGUUUUGCUUUUUUGAGACAGUCUGUUACACAAUUUACCCUGGUCUUGAACUCACUGUGUAGUCCAGGCUGGCCUCAGACUCAUGAUCAUCCUGCUUCAGCCUUCCAAAUGCUGGAAUUACAGGUAUGCGCCAUUACACCUGGCAUAUCGUGCCCCUUUUAAAAACAUUUUUGUAGAAUUGGAAAUCUCUACAGUGUAGUGGUAGUUGGCAAAUAAUAUUAAUGCUAUGAUCUUACUUUGGGCAGGGGAGGAAAUCUUUGUACAUGAUUAUGAUUAUUUGAGUCUGGAGAAAGAAGUAGCAGGAUGCCACCGCCAUUAUUAAAGUGCAUUUUCCGGAAGGAUGAGUGCUGUUUGACUUGUUGUAUUGAGAUUUUUAAAACAAACUAUUUACUACCAGCAGCGCCCCCGGUGCUUUUAAAGACAAAGUAAGUCUAACAAGGCUCCAUGGGGCUCUCUGGCACCUCAGUUUCAGUUACCACUAAUCCUGCAGAUAAGUAGCAAGGCAGGAAGUGGGCCUCUGAACAGCCAAAACAGCGGUCCAAAGCUCAGGCUUUGGCUGGAUCCUCCACCUUUGUCUUAAACAGCCCAAAGCAGCUUUUGCAGGCUGGGCACAUUGGUGAGGAUGCUAUCAGCAGUGACUGCGGUCUGAGUCCAGGGACACGAGGAAGAUGAAGACAGGGAUACUAGGGUCCUGGCCGCCGGGGCAUCUCAGGAAGUACCUGCUCUUCAUGGUGACAAUGCCGACUUUUGGGGGAGAAACAAAUCUGUUCCCGUGUGAUCUUGUAAAGGCUUCCCGAUUAGAGUGUGACACCAUCCAAAAGUAUCCCACCAGACACAACAGUCUCUCUGCUUUGUUGCCUAAAAUGUAAGUGCUUUUUCUGUCAUUGCCAGAAUAUAGCUGUGGUCUGCACUGUGAGCGAGACAGAGUGGCUGUCUACAUUUACAAGUUUGUAGAGCAGGUGUGACAGUGUGAGAAGUUACUCAGAAAUGGAAUGAUUUCCUCCAAGGGCAUUGUUUGCUCUUUGGGUAAAGAAAGGUCCAUCGUCUGUUAUCAGAAAUCUUUGGGACCUGAUGACUCUUGGAACUGAGAGACUUUUAGUUUUUGAAAGCUGGCAGGCACAUGUAUGUGCUGUGUGUUGUAUCAUAAUUAAACACUCAUUUCUAUAGUGAAGUUUUGGAAACACUAGUUAGGACACAUACUGUAUAGUUUAUUUCAAUAAUAAACUGGAAAGUUAAAUAAAUACAGAUUAGAAAUACUAUAGUAAUCUGGUCUCUGAGAAAAACAUUUUGUAAAGAUUUAAAUAUAAACAGGUUUAGGUUUAGCUAACUGUGCCUGUGCACACAGACCAUGAACAGUGACCUGCUGUGGUUCGCCUGCAUCCCAGAGGACAGGCGCACAGGCCUGCGGCCAGUGGGAGCCAGGAAUGGAUGCCAGCUGCAGCAGAAUUAAGGUCCCGCUCCAACACGUGCCCUUGUUAGGGGCUUCCUUCCCCUUGUCAUGUGGUUCAUUAACGGUUUUCAUCUGAGCAGUCCCAGAUCCUCCUGCCUCAGCCUCCUAAGUGCUGGGGUCACAGAUGUGUACUACCAUACCCAGCUGGCAGUCCUUCGAUUGUGAAAACUGCCAUAAAUUCAUGUUUGCUGACAAAUGUGCAGUUAAGGCCAGCCUUUGACUGCUGACAUUUUCACUGUAUCAUCUGGUUUUUUCCACCCGUGUUUAGUUUCUUCUUCUUCUUCUUCUCCUUCUUCUUCUUCUUCAUCAUCAUUCUGGUGAUUAUCCAUGUUUAAGACCACUUUACAGUUUCCCUGCUUAAGAUUUGCACAGCAGAAAUGUCAAAGUGGAAUUUUUCCUUUUGCUCUUUUUUUUUUUAAUGUCAGCUUUAUGCUUUAGCUGAUAAGCUUUCAACAUAAAAUAGUGAUCUUGUUAGUGAUAGGAAAUCCUUCAAAUCUUCAUCUGUAAUUGUCAUUUCAAACAUCACAGUAAGCCAGGGACCAUACUAAGCAUUUUAAAAAGCAGACUUUCAGUUUUGAAGUAGAUUUACAGGAAGGUUGCAAAGGUAAUUUGUUCUCACAUAUCCCACACCUGCCUUCCAGUGCUGAGCAACACGACACAUACGUUAAAGCUCAUGUUAGCAGGGAUGCAGUGCUGCCGGCUGUGGUCCAUCCUCCAGCCGUUUCCCACCGUGGCCGUGCUGCUGAGGGCUGCCCUGGGCGCUCUGUUGCAUUUCUUCACCUGUCUGCUCACCACCUCCAUUCGUGGCGGCUGGUCAGUGUUUCCUUGUUUUCAUGACCUGAAAUUUGAGUAGAACUGGUUGGGUCUCUUACGAAAUGCGAUUUAACUUGAGUGUCUGAUGUUCUCGUCAUUCAUCUGGGGCUCCAUUCACAUCAGUGUCAAGCGUUUGUUUCAUUUCCCUUUUUUAUUUCUGCAGUGAGGUCCUGUAGGUGCUCCGUAAGCACUCUGCCAUUGAGCUGCAUCUUCUGCCCCACUGCCAGGUGUUUUGUGUCUGUCUCUCUGGUACAGAGGAUUCUGGCAGUUGAGCCCAUAGCCUCUAGGCAAGUGCUCCAGGCCUCUUUAUUUGAGGUAUUGUCAAAAUGGCCCUGUGCCGGCCUCCAGUUGCAAUCCUCCUGCCUCUGCCUACCAAUUAUGUGGGGUUACCAUGCACAUGCACAGUUGCCAAAUAUUUUAAACGCCAAGUUAUUAUCAUUCCAAACCUUAGCACCUGUGUUAAUGGUGUCCAGAAAACAGAACUUUUCCAUUCUCAGAGCAGCAAGCACGCAUCUAGGACAGUUUUUGUUUUCUCGAUGUUUGCUUGCUCUUUGUGGAGGGUAAAAGCCCACACUGGCAUCAUAAGCAGUUUAGGGUGGCCUAUAUGGCACGCUUCUGUAGGAGGAAAAACGUGUGCCAGGCCUAUCCCUAAAUCGGGCCAGGCUGCUGCUGCUGUUGAUGAGAGGUCUUCAUGUGGUUACCCACGUUCCGUUUGCAUAAUAAAGCCCAGGUAAAUGAUGUGUGGGUGCCAGAAGUCUGGGACUCUCUCUUUGCAAUCCCUGCUAAGUUUACCAAAUAUGGCCAGCGACAAGUGACUGCUAUGAGUUAGAGCCAGAAUGUUGCAAAGGCCUUGAUGUGUUCUGAGGCGGAGCUUCUGGAGGGCAACUGAGUCAUGGCAUGCUGUGUUUACCAGUGGGUUCAUCUGUGGCUGAGUUCAGAGCCAACUGCACUGUUAGGAGGUGGGGCCUGGCAUAGAAGGGUCUCUGUCCCCAGCUCCUCUCUUCUCUCUGCUUCCUGCCCACCAAGACAUGGGCAGCUCUUCUCUCCCCAGCCCUGCCUGCUGUGGAGCCGGCAGACUGUGACCUGAAACCUCUAAACCAUGAGCCCAAAUAAACAUCUCCUUUAAACUGUGGGUGCUGGGUGUGUCUACCACGUGCCACACCCCAGAGCAGUCAGCCUGAUGUUGCUUAAGCCUGUUCUAGCAUUGUCAGUUCACUCAAGCCAGGUUUUCAUCAGACUGAUGAGUGUGACUUUCCCACGCAUCUUGACCGUAGCAACCAUCCAUUCCCAUUUUAUUUUCAGACUGUUUUGUGGAAUGCUGCUUCUCAAAUUUCUACAGCCAGCUUAUAUGAAUCUUCACCCAUACCUUCAAGGUUCAGUUCUUUGAGAUUCAGUAUUUAGAUACAGUGUAUGUUCACUUGUCGAAUUCACCCACCAGUGUCUGGUGAAGAGCUUUGAUUUUUGUUCUGUGGAGUAUUUUCUUACUUUCAUUAACUUGUUUAUCAUCACUGUAAAAUUUGAUUUCCUUUUUUAUCAUUUACUUAUUUAUUUUUUGACACUGGCUUGCACUAUUUAGUUUAGCCUGGCUUUGAACUUACUCUGUAGCCCAGGGUGGCCUUGAACUUGAGGUCCUCCUGUGUCAGCCUCCCAGGUACUGAGAUUACAGGCUUAUGCCACGAUGACUGGCCUUUGACAUGUUUUUAUGUGGAACAUGAAAGGCUGGCAGAUACCCUGACAUCACGCUUCUGUGAUGAUAUCUCUGCACUGCAGUGAGAAGAGCUGUCUUUCUUCUUUUUAUCUUCUCACUAUUACCCUUAUGGUAUCUUUGGCUCUGUUUACCAUUUUCAUAGUUACAAAGGAACAAAAAGAAGCAACAACAUAGCACACAGCAGACAGCCGAGGAGGAAUGCUGUAAGACAGCGGAGUCUUAGGUCAGUUCAAGCCAGGCUUUGUGGCUCCAAAAGUUUUGGUGCCAGACUUGGGCACUAUCUUUUCAUCUUAACAGACACAUUUUGGAAUUGCAAAUAGGGAAUCAUGGACUGAAGUUUUGAAGAAAAAGUUUUAUAUGGUGAAUAAUCUGAGCUCCCAGAUACAUUCACUAAAUGUUUCCUGAGCACACGGACAGUGACUCCAGCUUUUCCAGCCAGAGACCCCUGUGGCCUUGGGCUGUGCGUGUGCAGCUGCCAGCCGAAGGUUUCCACUGGACAAUCAGCUUAGCCACAGUGAAAGGUCAUUUACAGAUAGUGUUUUACCUGUAUGUAUACAUUGAGACGUAAAAUUUGUUCAAUAUGAAUUUAAAAAUGUGUGUAUAUAUAUAUUUAUAAAUAGAUGCAUGAAAACAGACUCCAUGCAUAUAAUAGAUUUACCUGAAGUCCAAGAGUUUGGGGCAGCAAAUCACAGUAUUUAUCCCAAGGCUUGCACAGGAAAUGAAAAUGAAUGUUUGGUUCCUAGAAGUACAAAAGGGAGUUGUGGGUGGACCCAGAUCUAGAAAGGGACGCCGUGUGUGGUUCAGGGUUUAUCAUGGGAAUGGGUUCAGUGUGCACAUAUCUACCUGUGUACAAGGCAAAAGGCAAGUGGAAGGAAGAGCAGGACCUCAGAGGAGCGGCUGUGCAGGAGGAGGCUGGGCAGACAGGCAGAUUCACCGACUCAGUGCCGCCUCUGCCCAAGAGUGGGUGGAGCUGCACCUCCUCUGUCCUGCUGUCUGCUGUCCCUCUUCAGAGACAGAUUCUGGGUAAAGAUCUGUUUGCCGUAUUUGCUGAUGCCCCUUGAGCUAGGAGAGGCCUGCCCUAAGAAGCUUGUUAGUGAGGCAAAGGCAGACUGAGUUUAAAGGCUGUUGAGGGGCAGAGGGAAGUUGCAAGAUUGUAGAGGAGAAAUAAAGCCUCAUGCACCUUCUGCGGCCUGAUGCAAUCCUUCUGUGCAGUUUCUCAAUAGCACUUCAGCCCUGAAUCUGAGGUGGUCCUUACGAAACAGUGAGCCACUCCCUCGUACUGUGGGAUCGGUGCCGCCCACAGCAAAAAGAAAAAGAAAAAAAGCCCUUUUAUAGGGUCAUGGCGCCCUGGUUCAUCCAUGCGAGGGGAAAAGGCUAUGCCUUGGCUUGAACAUCUCGUAAAUGACCCAGCCCCACCUGUCAUCCUGAGUAUCAGCCUCUAGGGUUUAUUUAGUCCUUAGUAUUUACAUUUAAAGGAUUUACUACAGCAUAGGCCGGUGGUGGUGAACAGCUUAGAGCUUUCAGUGAUACAAAUAGCUCACUGCAGCAUGAGUGCCACACGCUCGCCACCACAGGCAUGGGCCAAAAUUUAGCGCAUUUUACCUGUUAAAAACAAAAAAUGAAGCGGGCAUGGUCGUACACAUGUGUAAUCCCAGCAGUCUGGGAACUGAGGCAGAAGGAUCACAAGUUCAAGCCCAACCUGAGCAAUUUGGUGACUUUGCAAGACUUUGUCACAAAAUAAAAAUAAAAAGGGCUGGGGAUGUAGCUCAGUGCAAAGGCCCUGGGUUUAAUCUUUAGUACUGCAAAAAAGAGCAGGGUCACAAAGAAUAAAUUUAAGAGAAAACUUCUGUGAACAGUAUAUACCAGUGUAUACAUUUCUGUAGUGAAAAGCAACCCUACGAUAAUCUCAGGAUUUUAGGCCUUGUUUAUUUUGUUUUUUUGGUCUUUUUGAGACAGGGGUUUCACUGUGCAGUUGAAACUAGCCUUGAGCUCACUUUGUAGCCCAGGCUGUUCUUGAACUUGCUGUGAUCCUCUUGCCUCAACCUCCCAAGUGCUGGGAUCACAGGCGUGCACCAUCAAGCCCAGCAUGUUUUGUUCUGUUUUUUGGUGAAUCUUAGUAACAGAAGUUUACUGGUUUAUAAAAGGAUAGCUGGAGCAAAGUAGUUCACGUGACUGCUCAGAUGUUUAGGCCUCGUCUUGCUUGCUGUCCACAGUAUCCUCAUGAGAGCUGGGAGGCGUUUUCUAACAUCUUUGUUUUAGCUUUGCAUCUUUGAGAUAGUUUAACAUCUAUAAUGUUACCACGCAGGUGUAAUUGUGAAAUAAAACCAGAAUCCUGUUUGCUUGUUUAUUUAUUUAUUUUUGUUUUGCACCAGGGUCUCACUGUGUCAUUCAGGCUGGCCUAGAACUCAGGGUGAUCCUCCUGCCUCAGGCUCCCACAGGCUGAGAUUAUAGGUGUGCACCACCAUGCCUGGCACCAGAAUCCACGUUUAUCACUCUGGUAUAUUUACCUAUAAUAGAGUAGAUGUUAAAGUAAGUUCUGUCAGAACUGACAGUGAAAUAUGCAAAAGAGUUUCUGCCAGCCAGGAUGGUUUAAGCCAGGUGUGGUGGUGCAUACCUGUAAUCCCAGCACUCUGGGAGGCCAAGGCAGGAUGAUCAGUUUGACCUCAGCCUGGGCAGUUUAGCAAGACUGUCUCAAAGUAGUGAAAAAAGGGGGCUAGAGGUGAAAGCUUUGGGUUUAGUUUCCAGUAUCACCAAUAAGUAAAAUAAAAAAUAAAAUUACUGCAGUAAAUGAUUUUUUGUAGUUGAAUUACUAAUCUUAAGUGUUGGUAGUCACAUCCCCCAAAACUGGUUUCAGAAUAAAAAUUCAGCCACAUAAUCCUUCAGUCUAAGAAAAUUUAGUUUGUUAAAGCUGUAUAGAGAUGGCGACUUUAGAAAAUAUCAAAGAAAUACACAGAUUCUACAAAAAAAAUAGGGCAAACCUUUUAUUUGGAACACAUAAGUAUGUGUCUUGUCUGUUAACCUCCAGCAUGCUAUAAGCACAUGCAUUAAAGUUGUACCAAUCUGGUUUUAAGACGGGGCACACAAUAGGUAAUUCCUCAGCUCAGUCACUUUGCUUUAAAAACCUGAAAUACAGUGACUUUGUUCUUAUGAUGUUUCCAGCAUGAGGAUCCUAGCAGAAGCCUCUUUAUGGUCCUCCUGCAGGUGAUUUGCUCUUCUCUGGGGCUGCAGGUGGAUGAUAUUAUCCAGUGCCUAUGGCCAAGUGUUUUCAGAUCAGCUAAACUUUCUUUUCAAAGUUGUUUCUUAGUCCCGAGACUUUCAGGCGUGCUCUGAAUAGGUAUUUGUGAUUUUUUUUUCCAGAAUAAAAUAGUGCCUGAUUUUCAAAACUAGGAAUUUCUAAGUGCAAUAACCCACCUCAUGGGACCACUGACAGGCCAGCCUCGUCGGGGACACUAAGCCACCCUUGACCACCCUGUGCUGUUCGAGUCCUCUGGGACCCAGGCUGGCUUUGAAGCAGAGCCCUGGCCUGACCCGCCAGUCCCCUAACUCGGUUUCCAGAGGUGCAGGCGCAGGCAGGGGGCACAGGGACGCCACCACAGUGCAGCUGUUAGCUUCUGGCGGGGUUUCGCAUCCUGUGCACCCUGACUCCUUUCUCAGCAGGCACAGUUACAGUUAGAAUGAAAGAUAGCUGCGUAAAACACCACCUCGGGAAGCUCUGCAUUGUUAGGGCAGAAUGCCUGAGGAGACCUUUCAGGUGUUUCUGCGACAGGAAUAACUUGAUUCCUGUGGUUUGGUGUGAAGGAGGACCCACCGGGAGGGUCAGAGCAGAAUGUUCCAUCUGUGUUUCGGCGUGCACACACGGAGAUUCCCCUCCCUUCCUCCCUCUGCCCUCUUUCUUCACCCAACACAGCCCGGUCUGUGCCCACGGUGUCUCCAGCCUCGUUCUAGGACUUCUUGCCUAUGUUUUGUCCUUAGUAAAUGCUAACCAACUGGUAAAAUGCAUUUCCUUUUUCGUUCUGUUCCUUUGGCUAUGACAGUAAUUUUAAUUUAAAUUAUAUUUAACUGGUAAAGCAUGUAUGGAAGCAGUUUUAUGAUACAUUUUCUUUAGAUCACUCAGUAGCAAAAGAAUUUAAUGAAAGCUGGGUGUGGCGGCACAUGCGUAUAAUUUCAGCGCUCAGGAGGUUGAGGUAGGAUUGCUGUGAGUUCAAGGCCAACCUAAACUACACAGUAGCCUAAACGACAGGUUGAGACCCUAUCAAAAAAAAGAAAGAAAGAGAAAAACUGAAGUUUUGUUCAAGUUACAGAGAAAGUAAAUUCCUUCCUCUUAGGAUUAUCCCUUCAUACAUGCAUUAUUUCCAGCUUAAAUUUAAAAAUAAAGUAUCACCCCGCUAAACAUACCAGUGCAAUGACUUGAAUAAAAAUACUGUUAAAUGACUAUGACUUCACUCCUAAUUGAAUGUUCCCUGUAAUUACUGUUCAUUGUCACUAAGUCAGACACUUUGGAAUGUCACUCUGAUUUUGUGCAGGUCGUAUGAUUUGCUGUCAUUUUCAGAGAAACCAGAGAUUCAUGGCUUCAGUCUGUCCUGCUUCCAGCUGCACUCUGUCCAUCCUCAGCCCCCUAGAGUAGCCUCCCCACGGUGGGAACCCCAGGUGGGGCCCCCCACCUGUCUCCCUCAAGCCUAUGUUUGCUUCUGCCAGAUGUCCUGGGUAACGUGGAGGGGGACAGCCCUGACUGUCUCCGUGUUCAUCCAAACGUUAGGAUUCCAUGAUUGGAAUUCACUAUGCACCACCAGCAUUGCAAACCAUCCAGCGUAGCAACAAAAAACCGAUUGCAGUGAAAAAAUUGGACCAAAAUAAACCAGAAGUUUUGAAAUUAAAAGUAGACCCAGUUCAGGAGGGGUCUCUGAGCAUGUUAUUCUUUUUUAUUAAUAAAUAAUUUUCAGUGGCCUUUUCUCUUCAGCAAGUCACCUCUUAUGUUAACAGCAUACUGUUCUCAGAGAACGUAGCUGCAAAUGGAAACUAGACAAAGGCUGCUGUAGGUUACACUUUGAUACAUAGUAAUGACACUACAUAAGGUGCCACUGUGUGUGUGUGUGUGUGUGUGUAGGAACCAUGUGUAGAGAACUCGUGGUACGGUAUUGGGAUUAUAAAAUCCUCGCUUACAGAUGAUGUCUUGUCUGUUCCUACUGUGCUAACAGUACCUGAGUCCAGGUAGUUUAUAAACAAGGGAUGUGUUACAGCCCCUGGGGGCCAGGAUCCAGUCUUCGAAGGUCGGUAUCUGGUGAAGUCUGCUGUCUGCUUUUGAGAUGCUGUCACCGGUCACCUCUGCUUCAUGUUUUAAAGGUGUUAAUCUUAUGACUUUUAGAGCUGGGGUUUGAGUCCUCCAUGGAUGCCUUUGAUGUCACUGUAUACUCACUGCUGCUGUCCAACUCCGACACCCUGGCAGAACACACGAAGUGCCCUGCAGAGCCUGCUGGCCCUGCCUACCGUGUGCCCCAGGUGGUGUCCUACACGGACCAGCAUGGGUUGUGUCUGCCGUCAGCUGUGCUGGCCUCUGUGGAAACAAACAUCUCCCAUUCCUGUCCCUGCUAGGGGCCUGGGCUGCCCUCUGUUCUGAUCCGCAUACCUGGGACAUCCUCUUUGCUCUGAGACUGCCUUCCUGAGCCGCCUCCAGUGAACAGUGAAACAUGUAUUCUCUUGUAACCAUUCUGCACUGUUUCACUAAUUCUGAUAAUAGUGUUUCCAUCUUCCUUUAGAAACCUGUUUCUCCCUCCAUGAUCCAGGCUAGUUUCCCUACCAGGAACUUCCCAGCUCAGCUGGAACUGACAAUCCAGGCCUGGCCCAUCAGAUUUGUGGGGCCUCCCUGGCCACUGGGCUGGCCCAGGAUUAGGGCUGUGCCCAGCCAAGGCCAGUGACGUGCACUGAGACUUUCUGGGGCUGCCGGGAGAGCAGCUGAGCCUCGUUUCCACCUGCGGAGUAGGGAACACGUGAAUCUAGAGCUGCGGCAGCUAUCUUCUUGCUCCACGGGUAGGAAGCUGUCAGACUAUUGAUAACAGCCAGUGUACAGUGAGGGAGGGGUAAGGUUUGCUUGCCCUUGUGACAUAAUUUAAUGUGUCUACCUUUGAGUGUCACGUGAACUAAAUUCUCUUUUUGCAUAAGCUAGUUUGGGUUGGAAUUUCUGUCACCCAUGACAAGGUUGUUGCUUUGUCCCCUUGGUUCCCAGCACAGCAGUUAGACUUUGUUACUUACAAAUUUUUUUUUUUUUUUUUUUUUUUGUACCAAGAAUCAAACUCAGGACUUUGUGUUUGCAGGCAGGCGCUGUGCCACUGAGCUGUAUCCCUUGCCCUACAACUGUACCCUUAAUGACACCCUUCAGGAACAUAGUGACUGCUGCAGUAAUGGAAGAGUGGGUGCCGCAGUGGCCCACACAGUGCUGUUCUCUGGUGAACCGCAGUGAGAGAGACGAGAGCAGCAUGGGCAACGACCUGUCUGAGCCUGUUCCCUCAGCUGGCUUUGGCAGCUUCACCUGGGAAAUGGAGAGAAAUACACAUGUUCAGGCCCUGUCCCACUUCCUGAACCAGAAUCUUUGGGGGCAGAACAAGUCUGAGCUACCUUUCUAGCCUUUUAAAAUUUGGAGACAGAGUUUUGCCAAGUCACUAAGUUACCCAGGCUGAGCUCAAACCUGGCAUCCUCCUGCUUCAGCCUCCCAGAGUGCUGGGACUACAGCAUGCACUACCACGCCAGGCCUAGUUAGGAUCCUUGAAGAGAGUAGGGAAGGGGAAUUACAGAGUCGACCCAUACACAUAAUAGCAUUGCCAAAUGAGCUCUGAGACUUCACAUGGCCCUGAUCCCUACAAGGGUGUGAUCAUUUUUCAGCAGUUAUUAGGCAGCUCCAGCAUGGAAAUAAAUCCUGCCUUCAGGUGGACUUGAGGCUGGUGUAAGCAGAGCAGGCAGGUCAGAAAGACUAUAGCCGGGUGCAGUGCACAUCCUUGUGAUCCCUACUCAGGGCGCAGAGGCAGCAGGAUCUCCAGUUCAAGACAGCCCACACAAUUUAGCCAGACUGUCAUCUUACAAAAAGGGUUGGGAAUGGAGUUUAGCCUGGAGUGCAUGAGACCCUGGCUUCGGUCCCCGGCAUGGGGGGCUGUGUUGUAUGUUCAUUUAUCUGGCAGAAAAUUCAUUGACAGUUUAUGAAGCUACCUUUAAAAAGCAACACUGUCCUGACUUCUGUAUUUUUUCCCUUGCUCUCCUCCUUGCAUGAGAGUGUGCAUGUGUGUGUGUGUGCGUGCGCGCGCGCGCGUGGUACACGCUGAACCCAGGACCUCAUGCCUGCCAGGCAAGCACUCCAUCAAGCUACGUUCUCGCCCUCGUAUUUUCUUCUAGUAAAGUACUUGCAGGGGAUGGUACUGGGGUUCAGGAACCUCCAAAUCUUGUUCACUUAAAUGACUCCUCAUUGUAGAUGGAAAAAUACCUUAAUGCACGAAUUUUACACAAGCUUUUAAGAAAGCAAAUUCAUCUUUCACACAGCAAAACUAAACAGCAAGUACGUCCCAAGUCUUACCAUAAAAAUAAAAGAAUCUGACAAAGUGCGACGUUAAAGGACAUUUUAUUUACUGACAGUAAAAACCAUAACUUCAGGCAGUGCAAAAUGCACACUGAACCCAAUUACAAAGAUCUGUGUCAAUACACAAUGUUUAAGCAAUGCUACAAUUGUUUUUGGCAAAGUGCUGUAUUGUUCAUUCUAUAAAACUGACCAUCUAUGAACCAAUCAAUAUAAAAAAUUUCUAUAAAAACAAAAAUUUAGACAGUGGCUCAAGGAAACAAGCUGCCAUUUAUGCAUAGAUUGAUGUACAGUAUACAAUCUAACCAAAUGUCCCUUUUGAGUUUUUCAAGUUGAUGAAAAAAACGUGUGUCCCGAAACACAUCAAGAAGGCACAUAGUACAACCUACAAUACUCUUCAGUCUCUGGAACUCAUGCCCUGCCCUGGAAAAGCAAAUGUGUUCACAAUUUUACUUGAAAAAAAGCCACAUAAAAAAAAACACACAGUUAUUAAUUAUAUUCAAAACUUCAGGGGAAGACACAACAAAAAACCAAACAAAACCACUCACACACUCCAAUCCUGAAACACA
Long non-coding RNA from Cavia porcellus (domestic guinea pig), 13226 nucleotides. RefSeq lists it as uncharacterized. Lineage: Eukaryota; Metazoa; Chordata; Mammalia; Rodentia; Caviidae. The record is from RefSeq and is a predicted model, not a curated record. The transcript has 3 exons.